AAGAUCUGAGUCUCGAGAACCCUUCAUAUUCAUAUUCCUGCGGGGUGGAGAUAUGUCAGCAUUCGAGGCGAUAGAUCUUGAAGGCCUUCUACCCGGUUCAGGUGAUGGAGAAUGGUAUCGUCUUCUCCGAGGAGGAGAAAGGUCACUGCUCUUCCUUUUUACAUCUGAGACAGGUGAACCAUGUAAAUCCCUUUUCCUGCGUGGUGGAGAAAAAUCAGCGUCUACCUCCACAGAAUCUGAACGCCUUCUGCUAGAUUCACGUGAUGGAGAAUGAACAUGUCUCCUGCGAGGAGGAGAUAGAUCUUCACUCUUGGGGCCUUUAUUGUCAGGUUCAGGAGAAGGUGAAUCAUUCCUGGCUUUUCUUUUGCGCGGUGGUGACAUAUCAGUAUCCAAACUGAUGGCAUGUUUUCUGUUAGGUUCAGGAGAAGGCGAGUCUUUCCUGGCUCCUCUUUUGCGAGGUGGUGACAUAUCAGAAUCCAAACUAGUGGCAUGUUUUCUGUUAGGUUCAGGUGAAGGCGUAUUGUGACGUUUUCUCCGGCGUGGUGGUGACAUAUCUGUUUCAACUCUUUCUGCAACCUCACGUCUAGGCCCAGGCUCAGGAGAUGGCGAGUCAUUACGAGUUCUUUGUCUACGUGGAGGAGAAAU
This 645-nucleotide long non-coding RNA is filed under the name Capsella grandiflora. RNAcentral's name for it is "long non-coding RNA (CGRA_LNC000347)". The record is from RNAcentral. Lineage: Eukaryota; Viridiplantae; Streptophyta; Magnoliopsida; Brassicales; Brassicaceae.